RNAcentral lists this ribosomal RNA (253 nucleotides) under uncultured bacterium. RNAcentral describes it as "partial 16S ribosomal RNA". It matches the Rfam family "Bacterial small subunit ribosomal RNA", at positions 524 to 776 of the family's 1533-position model. The record is from RNAcentral.
UACGGGGGGGGCAAGCGUUGUUCGGAAUUACUGGGCGUAAAGGGCUUGUAGGUGGCCAACUAAGUCAGACGUGAAAUCCCUCGGCUUAACCGGGGAACUGCGUCUGAUACUGGAUGGCUUGAGUGUGGGAGAGGGAUGCGGAAUUCCAGGUGUAGCGGUGAAAUGCGUAGAUAUCUGGAGGAACACCGGUGGCGAAGGCGGCAUCCCGGACCGGUAUUGACGCUGAGGCGCGAAAGCCAGGGGAGCAAACGGG